AGUGUGUGUGCAAAAUAGCCCCUAAACUAUCAAAAACCUAACAUUUAAACCCUCACGACUAAACGACGUUAGUCAACGUUUGGUCAAUUUUUUUUUUUUUUUAUUUAUUUCAACACUGUCUUCAUCUCUCGGCGGGAGCACCGGCGGGGGUGGUGCUGCUUCUACCGACACGGCCGGCGUGGCGGCGGUUUCGGACACUAACCCUUCCCCGAAAUGGCAGCAAGACUCCACCACUGACCAGCUCCAAUGCCGGAGGCGGAGCCGACCUGCUCCCAGUCCUGCCUUCUCUCGACGGUGGCGGCGGCAACCCGG
Molecule: long non-coding RNA, 312 nt
Filed under: Salvia miltiorrhiza (redroot sage)
Lineage: Eukaryota; Viridiplantae; Streptophyta; Magnoliopsida; Lamiales; Lamiaceae
Description: long non-coding RNA (SMIL_LNC008691)
Source: RNAcentral